This 200-nucleotide ribosomal RNA is filed under the name uncultured bacterium. RNAcentral describes it as "partial 16S ribosomal RNA". It matches the Rfam family "Bacterial small subunit ribosomal RNA", at positions 8 to 200 of the family's 1533-position model. The record is from RNAcentral.
AGAGUUUGAUCAUGGCUCAGGACGAACGCUGGCGGCGUGCCUAAUACAUGCAAGUCGAGCGGACUUGAUGAAGUGCUUGCACUUCAGAUAGUUAGCGGCGGACGGGUGAGUAACACGUAGGUAACCUGCCUGUAAGACUGGGAUAACAUUCGGAAACGAAUGCUAAUACCGGAUACGCGAAUUGGUCGCAUGACCGAAUC